GGUCGACUGGUGUAGUGGUUUAUCACGUCUGUCUUACAUUUGCGCCUUGUCGGUGUACUGUGAGGACACAGAAGGUCGCAGGUUCGAUCCCUGCGUCGAUCA
Molecule: non-coding RNA, 102 nt
Organism: Jackrogersella minutella
Lineage: Eukaryota; Fungi; Ascomycota; Sordariomycetes; Xylariales; Hypoxylaceae
Source: the annotation of a GenBank genome assembly